GAGACCUCAGGUCAGGCGGGGAUACCCGCUGAAUU
This 35-nucleotide ribosomal RNA is filed under the name Lathyrus pannonicus subsp. collinus. Its description in RNAcentral is "partial 25S ribosomal RNA". The record is from RNAcentral. Lineage: Eukaryota; Viridiplantae; Streptophyta; Magnoliopsida; Fabales; Fabaceae.